Long non-coding RNA from Neogale vison (American mink), 687 nucleotides. RefSeq lists it as uncharacterized. NCBI's taxonomy places the organism in Eukaryota, Metazoa, Chordata, Mammalia, Carnivora, Mustelidae. The transcript is spliced from 4 exons. The record is from RefSeq and is a predicted model, not a curated record.
GCUACAGCAGCACUUUGACUGUGGGAAAAUAUUCAUCAUGUGUAUAUUAUAUUGAAGGCAUUCCUUCAGUAUUUUUAUAAGUGUCCUGUUUUCUCUUUCAGAUUGCAGGCUCCGGGAAGGCAAGAACCAAUUCUUAGACAUCUUUCUAUCCCCAUUCUGUUUUUAUUGGCUAAAUACCUACUGACUGAAUUAAUACAUGAAUGGAGAUAUUUGGGAUAUUCUGAAGGAAAGAAAUGUAGGAAACCAGUGCACUGCUUACAAACGCUAUUUCAGCUGAAGAAAUGGACUGCAAACUCACAGAAUGGGAGGGAGAAAGAGGCGACCGUCCCGAACAGUUGCAGAGGUGCUAAAGGAACGAGAAGCUUGAAGUUGGGGUGUGGAGGACACAGGUGCACCGCCUUCCUGACCAAAGGCUGUGGAAGAGACCACAGGUGUCAGCAACAAUUGCAGCACAGGGGACAUGAGGCACGUGUGCCUGUUUCUCAGCGGUCACCAAUGAUGAGGAGGGAUAAGCUGUAGCUAAAAGACGCAAGGCUGGGCUGGGAGGAGACAGCGUUGACCCAGACGCCAGAGUUACCUCCAAAUUUAAGGCCACCUCGUGUUCCAAAAUAGCUGCUGGAGUGCCAGUGCAUAGCCACAAGACCAGAGGAAGAGAGAUACAGCAAGAGAGGGAACACAGCAGGAGGA